AAUCAUACACGGUUGACCUAUU
RNAcentral lists this microRNA (22 nucleotides) under Macaca mulatta (Rhesus monkey). Lineage: Eukaryota; Metazoa; Chordata; Mammalia; Primates; Cercopithecidae. RNAcentral also lists the same sequence under 6 other names. The record is from RNAcentral.